This 253-nucleotide ribosomal RNA is filed under the name uncultured bacterium. Its description in RNAcentral is "partial 16S ribosomal RNA". It matches the Rfam family "Bacterial small subunit ribosomal RNA", at positions 524 to 776 of the family's 1533-position model. The record is from RNAcentral.
UACAGAGACUGCAAGCGUUAUUCGGAUUCACUGGGCGUAAAGGGUGCGCAGGCGGCCAAGUGUGUGAGGCGUGAAAGCCCGGGGCUUAACCCCGGAAUUGCACCUCAAACUACAUGGCUAGAGCAUUGGAGAGGGUAGCAGAAUUCAUGGUGUAGCAGUGAAAUGCGUAGAUAUCAUGAGGAAUACCAGAGGCGAAGGCGGCUACCUGGACAAUUGCUGACGCUCAGGCACAAAAGCGUGGGGAGCAAAAGGG